Molecule: ribosomal RNA, 1446 nt
Filed under: Triticum aestivum (bread wheat)
Lineage: Eukaryota; Viridiplantae; Streptophyta; Magnoliopsida; Poales; Poaceae
Description: partial small subunit ribosomal RNA
Source: RNAcentral
AUGGAGGUCUGUAGCGUAGCCAGGAUAACGAGCUUUGCACAUUUUGGCCUGAAAAUUUUGCCUAAGCUCCUGGCUCUUUCUCCCGGUUCAUUGGGGAAAUUCAGAAAGGUCUCACCAGCGAUGGAAACUGAAACUGUGUUGAGAAAACUGCCGGAGCUGCUGCAGGAUGUAUUGAUAAAGGUCUCACCACCCAUGGAAACUGAAACUGUGGUGAGAAAUUUGCCGGAGCUGCUGCAGGAUGUAUUGAUGGACAUAUUUUCACUCCUGGAGAUACCUGACCUCAUGCGUGCGGCCUCUGUCAGCUCCUCCUGGCGCUCCGCGUAUACCAGCCUCUGCAGCCAGCUUAAGCUGUACAAACGGCCUCAAACGCCUUGCCUCCUCUACACCUCUGAAUCUGCUGGUGAGAAUGUAGCUUGUCUCUACAGCCUCGCAGAGAAGAGGGUCUACAAUUUAACUCUCCCGGAUCCACCCAUCCGCAGCAGGUAUCUUCUUGGGUCAUCGCAUGGUUGGCUAGUUACCGCGGAUGACAAGUCUGAGCUACACCUUAUCAAUCCGGUCACUGGCCAACAGAUUGCUCUCCCGUCAGUGGUCACCAUUGGUUAUGUACAACCAAUAUUUGACAAUGCAGGCACAAUUAUUAUGUAUAAAUUGCGACAGCAACUUUACGAUCCAGACUUAGACCCCGAAAUGGUUGGUCCCAAAAUGUUCCCCCAUGCUCCCGACAAGCUUCGUGACCAUGUCUACAUCAGGGUAUUUAUCUUUCCGGAUCCGUCCACAGGAAGCUACAUUGUGGUUCUCAUCCAUGGUCCAGGAUGUCAGCUUUCGUUUGCAAGGGUAGGAGAUUGUAAGUGGACCUUGCUGACGCUGGAUUGGGACUAUGAUCAAUGCAUCUACAUGGAUGGUCUAUUGUAUGCAUCCAUAAGAGCCGGAAGAAUGGAUGCUUUUGACCUCACUGGUCCUACCGUCACGAGGAAUAUAAUUGCAGAUGAGAUUGCCAUUCACAGUUCUGAGUACAGGGGCGAAUUCUACCUUCUUCAGGCUCCAUGGGGUGAUCUGCUGCAAGUUUGCAGGAAGGCUGAACUCAUAGAUGCGGGCUAUGAGGAGCUCAUAGUUAAAACUAAUAAAAUCUUGUUACACAAAGUCGAUAUGGAAGCACAAGAGCUUGUGGAAAUAAAUAGCUUGCAUCAUAACGUGUUGUUUCUGGGGCGUAACCAGUCUAUAUGCCUUAGUGCUGAAGAAUAUCCGCAACUGAAGGCAAAUUGUGUCUAUUUCGCAGAUGAUGAGCAACAUAAUUGGAAGUAUAAGACGAAUCCCCGGGACAUAGGUGUUCUCAACCUUGAAGAUGACAGUAGGGAGGAAAUUGUGUCCCCGCUUUGGUCCAGCUGGCCAAGUCCCAUAUGGAUAACACCCAGUCUUACAGUGAUGAACCUGUCAUUGUACAAAUAG